UUUGUUUGGUGGCGAUAGCGAAGAGGUCACACCCGUUCCCAUACCGAACACGGAAGUUAAGCUCUUCAGCGCCGAUGGUAGUCGGGGGUUUCCCCCUGUGAGAGUAGGACGCCGCCAAGCAAG
RNAcentral lists this ribosomal RNA (123 nucleotides) under Bacillus subtilis. Lineage: Bacteria; Bacillati; Bacillota; Bacilli; Caryophanales; Bacillaceae. RNAcentral also lists the same sequence under 2 other names. The record is from RNAcentral.